UUUGUGCCUCACUUUUCAGAGCCGUGUCGUUCUUUUCUCUGGAGUCAGGAAGCCCCUCCAUAAUUUUUUUUUUCCCCACUGACCAAGGUCCAGAACAGGGAGUGUGGACACAGGAAUCAAGGAAUGUUCUGCAGUGUGCUGUCUUCUAACUUCCUGAUAUAGAUGUCCAGCAUGCCUUGCUGAUUGAUGAUGUUCAUGGAGAUGAAACCAUCCUUUCAGGACCAUGGUGUGCCUGAAACGACACCGCAUUCUGACGGAUCAGCUGGCGCCACCCAGACCAGAAAUCUGACUCAACUAGUUCAGGAACUGAAGACAGCAAGAACUACCCCUUGACUCCAGGUGUAGAGAUGCAGCGUGUCUCCCAAAACCCAAGUUCCUGAAUAUAGGUG
RNAcentral lists this long non-coding RNA (389 nucleotides) under Homo sapiens (human). RNAcentral's name for it is "HSALNT0286091". Lineage: Eukaryota; Metazoa; Chordata; Mammalia; Primates; Hominidae. The record is from RNAcentral.